UUGAGAGAGUGGUACGCGUGGGUUCAUUUGAAAUCAAAACCCACUUCGACUUCCAGUCAUCUCUUUCCUUUAUCUCCUUCUCUCGCACGGAAACCUCUCGUUCUUCCCUCACCUUCUCGCUAAAAGGGUUUUUUGUCGCAGUCCUCUCGUCCCCGUUGUCGUCCCUCCCUCAUCUCCUUUCACUAAGGUGACCACUCAGGUGACACCUCUGCUUCCCUUGUCUUCUCUUAAGAAGGUCUCUUCCAUUAUCCUCUUUCUUUGUCGUGCCUCGCUCGUGUAGGUUGACGAACCCUAGCAUUCAUCUCCCAAGCAAGGUGCUCUGUCAUUCCGCACGACACAGUUUUGUUUCAUUGUCUUGUCCCAUCCGUCACUGCCUGGCUGAUAUAGCACGUCCUGGUACACCAUUUGGAUGGUUCACACAGUUGAAUGAGUCUGUGAAGAUAAAUAGAAAUGUUUUAAGUGAGUUAUGCAGUAAAUGGAUGAAAUGGAGGGGUGGGUUUUUAAUUAGAUCUGAUGUUGGUUUUAAUUUGUUAGCUGUCUGUGUAGGAUUAGGGUUGAGGGUAGUUAGAGACAAGAUUGAUUUAGGUAAGGUAGACAUAGUUAGCGAGUCUAGGAAGUUGUUUGAUACGUAAAAUGUUGACGUUAAUACGAUAUUCAAUUUCCUUAUGAAUCCGCCUAAACCUGUUAGUUUAGAAGACUUUUGUAAGCUUUACAUCUCUGGUUGGAACCUACAAUGUAGCUUUUACUUACAAUUGUCAGCUGGUGUGCUUAGUUAGUGUUGGGCCAAAAAAAAUUGACCACCUGCACUCCUUCGACCAGUAACAUGUCAUUUGUAUGCCAUUCAAACUCUCCUUGAGAACGUGCUCAUUGGUGGUCCCACAACUAUUUAAAAGUUAAACUCAGAUAUAGUUAGUGACAAUGUAGUUAACAUUUAGUUUUGUCAGCAGGUUCCACACCUUUCUCAUCUCUUUUGUAAUGUCAGAUAUGCGCCUUUAAUUCUUCUUCAAUUUACUCACGAAAAAAUCAUCCUCUCCUUCUUUGCCAACGCCGUGAUCAUCAACAUUGAGGGCACCACAAACUAUGUAAUUUGAUUUCUCUUCAUCACUUAUAGCCCAUUCCCAAGAAAUUUGCAAUAACAAACAAAACUUGACAAACAAAUCCUACAACUAAAUUUCAACAAGUUAUUAAUGGAAAUAAAAUACCUCCCUUUUAAAGAAGGACGUUUCACCCUGUAGCUACAAGGGUUUCACCCUACACUCCUAAAUCUUUCUAAACCUAAAACAUCUUUCUCCCUCGCACUUUCACGUUCAACUAUCUCUCGCGACCCUCAACCCUUCUUUUCCUUCCUUCUCCAUUCCUUCCACCUCCUUCACUUCUUCUUACAUAUUCGACUUCCUUCCUUUUCAUAGUUGCUUUUUUAUUCGGUGCAUUCCUUCCUUUCUCUUCCUUGAUGUAUUUUUUUGUUGAAGGUUUUGGCCUAUGUUGCAAAGAAAUUUCGCUGACGAAGAUUCAAUUGUUGAGUGGAAUGUGUCUACAUGCUCAAAAUAUGACUAAUCACACUUUGUAUAUCUUUCUGUCCUUUGAACCUUACUCUUUUGUACACCAUUUGUCUUCACUUUAUGCAAUGGAAGUAUCAUAAAUGUCAUUGCACGACAAACAAUGUCAAGUAACUUUUGUUUGACUGUCACCUUACCUUUCAACCAUUCUUCGAUCA
Vigna angularis (adzuki bean) is the source of this 1714-nucleotide long non-coding RNA. RefSeq lists it as uncharacterized. The record is from RefSeq and is a predicted model, not a curated record. The transcript has 3 exons. NCBI's taxonomy places the organism in Eukaryota, Viridiplantae, Streptophyta, Magnoliopsida, Fabales, Fabaceae.